GUAGGGGGCAAGCGUUGUCCGGAUUUAUUGGGCGUAAAGAGCGUGUAGGCGGCCAGAUAGGUCAGCUGUGAAAACUCGAGGCUCAACCUCGAGACGUCGGUUGAAACCAUCUGGCUAGAGUCCGGAAGAGGAGAGUGGAAUUCCCGGUGUAGCGGUGAAAUGCGCAGAUAUCGGGAAGAACACCCGUGGCGAAGGCGGCUCUCUGGGACGGUACUGACGCUGAGACGCGAAAGCGUGGGGAGCGAACAGGAUUAGAUACCCUGGUAGUCCACGCCGUAAACGAUGGGUGCUAGGCGUGGGGGGUGUCGACUCCCCCGUGCCGAAGCCAACGCAUUAAGCACCCCGCCUGGGGAGUACGGCCGCAAGGCUA
RNAcentral lists this ribosomal RNA (370 nucleotides) under uncultured bacterium. RNAcentral describes it as "bacterial SSU rRNA". It matches the Rfam family "Bacterial small subunit ribosomal RNA", at positions 527 to 896 of the family's 1533-position model. The record is from RNAcentral.